AGUGAACGCUGGCGGUAGGCCUAACACAUGCAAGUCGAACGGCAGCACAGUAAGAGCUUGCUCUUACGGGUGGCGAGUGGCGGACGGGUGAGGAAUACAUCGGAAUCUACUUUUUCGUGGGGGGUAACGUAGGGAAACUUACGCUAAUACCGCAUACGACCUACGGGUGAAAGCAGGGGAUCUUCGGACCUUGCGCGAUUGAAUGAGCCGAUGUCGGAUUAGCUAGUUGGCGGGGUAAAGGCCCAGCAAGGCGACGAUCCGUAGCUGGUCUGAGAGGAUGAUCAGCCACCCUGGAACUGAGACACGGUCCAGACUCCUACGGGAGGCAGCAGUGGGGAAUACUGGACAAUGGGCGCAAGCCUGAUCCAGCCCUACCGGGUGGGUGAAGAAGGCCUUCGGGUUGUAAAGCCCUUUUGUUGGGAAAGAAAAGCAGCCGUUUAAUCCCCCGCUGUUCUGACGGUACCCAAAGAAUAAGCCCCGGCUAACUUCGUG
RNAcentral lists this ribosomal RNA (492 nucleotides) under uncultured bacterium. RNAcentral describes it as "partial 16S ribosomal RNA". It matches the Rfam family "Bacterial small subunit ribosomal RNA", at positions 29 to 507 of the family's 1533-position model. The record is from RNAcentral.